This 234-nucleotide ribosomal RNA is filed under the name Pseudomonas sp. BJa3. Its description in RNAcentral is "partial 23S ribosomal RNA". It matches the Rfam family "Bacterial large subunit ribosomal RNA", at positions 1696 to 1915 of the family's 2925-position model. Lineage: Bacteria; Pseudomonadati; Pseudomonadota; Gammaproteobacteria; Pseudomonadales; Pseudomonadaceae. The record is from RNAcentral.
GAACUCGGUUGAAUGAACUAGGCAAAAUGGCACCGUAACUUCGGGAGAAGGUGCGGCUUUGAGGGUGAAGAAAUUGCUGCGUAAGCCCACGCCGGUCGAAGAUACCAGUCCGCUGCGACUGUUUAUUAAAAACACAGCACUCUUCAAUCACGAUAGUGGACGUAUAGGGUGUGUCUCAUGCCCGGUGCCGGAUUGUUAAUUGAUGGUGUUAGCGCAAGCGAAGCUCUUGAUCGU